CCUGAUCAGAUCAGUCUCAGUGGAUAUCCAUAGAAAUCGAACAUGUGUGUGACUCUACAGGAAUCUCACCAGAUUAUCAUAGACCAUCGGAUCAUGGUGAAGAUCUACCCAUGCAAAGGUAAAGAUCUAAAUUUGAUUUUUAUUUUUCAACAUCUUAAUUUCAGUAUGUGAACUUUUCUGGCAUGUAUAGAUUAGAUCUAUAAUUUUUAUACAUAUUAGAUUUAAAAUAAUUUUAAAUCUAGGUC
This 245-nucleotide long non-coding RNA is filed under the name Elaeis guineensis (African oil palm). RNAcentral's name for it is "long non-coding RNA (EGUI_LNC024626)". The record is from RNAcentral. Lineage: Eukaryota; Viridiplantae; Streptophyta; Magnoliopsida; Arecales; Arecaceae.